RNAcentral lists this long non-coding RNA (3272 nucleotides) under Malus domestica (apple). Its description in RNAcentral is "long non-coding RNA (MDOM_LNC012921)". Lineage: Eukaryota; Viridiplantae; Streptophyta; Magnoliopsida; Rosales; Rosaceae. The record is from RNAcentral.
UUCAUUUACAGUAACGCAAUCAAUACACUUGAAUUCUCUUGCCCAGUGCUUAAGUCUAAAAUCAAUCACUAACUUGACAGUUGGAUAGCUUUUGGCCGGCACACACCCCCAGCCUACGAUUUGCUUAUGGUUGUUUCACUGUUUUGUAGGUUAUCCUAGACAACACGGUUUUGUGCUCAACUGCAGCUCACGAAGGUGAGAAUAUUUGGUUCCAACAAUUAAAAAAUAAGACUUGAAGUUAUGUGGUGGAAACAAAGCUUAGAAAUGUUUAUGAGAUGCCUAACUAAUGAUAAUGAUGAUGCUAAGCCAUAUUGGAACCAAAUUUGCGCACCUCUAUGAACAAUGGUUGAGUGAAAAUCUGAGUAAACCUGAGCAACCUGCAAAAUAGUAAACAACUAUGAGCAAGCCUAAGACCACUGAUGAGGGGGCUGUGUCGCCCAAAGGUUCUUCAACGAUCAAGUUGGUGAAUGAUUUUAGGCUCAAGCAGUAGGCAAGAGAAUUCAAGUGUUUAGAUUGCGUUACCAUAGAUGAAUCAUAGGCGUGAGUAUUUAUAUUGUGGGGAGAGAGACCAUUUAAGAUAGAAUCCUCAUUCUAAGACGGGAGAAACCUAAAGGAUAUCUAGAAGUAGAUAUUGCACCCUCUUAGGAGUUGUGAUUGCUUGUGACGCACACCAUUCCCUAAUUAGUAGGAACUCUAAGACUUAUAGGAUCUAAUUGUGUCCAUAUCCGGAUCAGAUCACAUGUCUUACAUAACAAGCAUGGUCAUUCAGUUAAGUCGGUAGGACUCCGCUUAGUGCCUCGGAGUAGAGUGAUGGUGGCACCGUUACUCCAUCUGAUAUAGCUUCGCUCGGAGCUAGUGAGUCCACGACCAGACUUUUGAGGUAACUGUAUUCGGAUCAGCCUUACUCCGGCCUUGGAAAAUCAUGUCCCACAAGCCAUACUAGAAAGAAGAGGCUUAUGGGGGUAUUCAAGUUAACCAAAAUGAUGUUGAAGAUGAUGAAAUUGUGGGAUAAGCUCUCAUGCAAUUGCGAUUGUGUUUUUUUUUUUUUUUUUUUUUUUAUAUAGAAAUUUAGUUGUGGAAGUGAUGUGAGUCAUUAUAAUUUGUUCAAUGUCCAUGGCAAAUGUUAUGAGUUAACAAAGGCAUGCAAAUUGUUUCUUUAUCAUAAAAUACUAUAUUAAGUUAUACGCCUUUUUGCUCCAUGGUUUUAUUUUUAUUUUUAUGGUCCAAUCUUCUCCAUAUGUAUGCUAAGUUAGAUGAUCUAUUUAUUGUAGAAUAUUAAAUUAAGCAUCAAACUUAUUUCGAGAAUAUUCCAAUGACACAUGUGAUCAUUGGUAAAUAAUUGAGUCAAACAAAACCAUAUGUCUUUAAAACUUCAUUACGAAAAAGAAAAAAGUUUGUCGAAAAAAAUAUGAUCACUUCCAACAACAACUAAUCACCCUCAAAAUAUAAAAGCAUUACCGGAAAAUACUAAAUCAAUUAUGUUAACAGGAGUAAACCCUGGAAAGAACUUUAUUCGUCGUUAAUACAACUGGCGCCAAGUCUUCCUGCCAAACAAAAGUGCAUUUCCAACAAACCUUGGGACUUUUUUCGAGGACAUUAUGUGCAUUGGUAAUAAAAUUUUGUUUCAUACCAUGUUACUGAUGACCCAUAUUUUGUGGUCGCAAAAUGUGCUUUUUAUGACGGCUUUUGGGGUCCUCGGAAAUUCUUCAUCACUAAUGACUACUUUUUUUUUGUAGUGAUAUUCCUUUAUCCCUUCUCAGCCGACACUUCAUCUUCAUCGAGUCUAGGCCUUUUUGAUUCUCACUAGGACUCUAAACCCAGCCCUAUUACGAGAUUUAUUCAUCUUUAUCUAAUCACACAAGCAGUUGAUCCUUGGGACAAUUCGUAUUUAUCCAAGCUAUUCUAAUCUUUGGCAAUUUUAAUUUGUAUAAGACUCAACCGAGCCACCCUAUACUUAAUCUCUUCACCAGUCAUACCUUCACAAGAACUAGGUCGUACUGAUCCUAUUCGUGAGUUAAAAGCCCACUAAACUAACACACAAAUUAAACCCUAUAAAUUAUGCAAUUGUAGUACGAGUAAGUAGGGAUCGUUCUAUUCCAGGGAUUAGAAGAGAUGCUAAUCAACACAAAUUAAACUUAUAAAACUGAAAACUAAAUUAAACUAACAACAAAACAAUGACUGGGGGAAUUGUAGACGAAUUUAAUGAGAACAAAAGUAAAUAUCAACAAGUAAAUUAAGUUGUGAAUGAAAUAUGGGUGGGAGGAUAGCUAGAGGAUUCUUCUCCACACAUGAAACAUAUGCAUACAAAUUGAUUUCCAAUUAUUCUUCCUAUAAACCAUGAAUGACAAUGCCCUAAAUUAACUGUGAACAACACUAAUUAACUCUCAGAUUUUCCUAAGUUCAUUGAAUUGGACUCAGCAACGCAAUCAAAUUAUUCUUCUUAAGUUCCCUAACUAUGAAAAACAUGAUAAAGAUACAUCUCGAAGAUCAUUAAGUUCUGUAAAAAUUGAUAGGAGCAUAUUUAUGCGACUGAGUUAGCUUGGUCUCAUGCAUUUAUGUUGUUAUUUCUUAGUUAAUUAUGUAUUUUCAGCUAUUUUCGUGUGUUUGUAGGUCCAUAGGCCUUAUAAAUCAAUAAGAUGCAUUUUGGUGCAUUUUGGAGCAGUUUUGGGCUUGGAAUGAAUAGCACAUGCAUGGAGCAAGGUGGAUGGACGAAAUUGAAGACUAAAGAGGCUAGGAAUGUGUUAAAGAGAAAGAUGAAUUAAUGUAAAAAGGACAAAGAGCUCAGCCACAAAGGGGUGUCACUCCACCAUUCACCUUUCCAUCAUUGCCGUGCACCACUAUUGCACUCCCUUUGGAUUCCUAUGCCGUGCAUCAUCAUCCAUGUUCCCUCCAUUGACUCAUUUGUUGCAUCAUUCCACUUCCUUUCCUUUGUCUACCAUGUGCACAAUAUCGUUUCACCUUCUUGCACUCAUUGAUUCACCACUUACUCACCUUUCCACCCAUGCCAUGCAUAAUCACCCUUGUCCCCUUCAUUAUUUCAGAUUUCAUGCAUCAUUACAUUGAAUCAUUGCACUCAAUUGCUACACCAUUCCUUGUUCCCUCCAUCAUUUCAGAUUUUAUGCAUCAUUGCACUCAAUUGCUACACCACUCCAUGUUCCCCUCCAUUGCCAUGCACUUCCUCUAUAAAAGGAAGUGUGUGUAACAUAAAUUGAGUCAUACUUGGUUAGAUCAUUCACUCCCAUUUCAACACAACCUUCAUCCAAACACAUCCA